RNAcentral lists this ribosomal RNA (247 nucleotides) under uncultured beta proteobacterium. Its description in RNAcentral is "partial 16S ribosomal RNA". It matches the Rfam family "Bacterial small subunit ribosomal RNA", at positions 796 to 1041 of the family's 1533-position model. The record is from RNAcentral. Lineage: Bacteria; Pseudomonadati; Pseudomonadota; Betaproteobacteria.
CACGCCCUAAACUAUGUCAACUAGUUGUCGGGGAAGAAAUUCCUUGGUAACGAAGCUAACGCGUGAAGUUGACCGCCUGGGGAGUACGGCCGCAAGGUUAAAACUCAAAGGAAUUGACGGGGACCCGCACAAGCGGUGGAUUAUGUGGAUUAAUUCGAUGCAACGCGAAAAACCUUACCUACCCUUGACAUGCUAGGAAGUCCGCAGAGAUGUGGACGUGCCCGAAAGGGAACCUAGACACAGGUGC